This 225-nucleotide ribosomal RNA is filed under the name uncultured bacterium. RNAcentral describes it as "partial 16S ribosomal RNA". It matches the Rfam family "Bacterial small subunit ribosomal RNA", at positions 524 to 748 of the family's 1533-position model. The record is from RNAcentral.
UACGUAGGGUGCAGGCGUUAAUCGGAAUUACUGGGCGUAAAGCGUGCGCAGGCGGUUUGCUAAGACAGGUGUGAAAUCCCCGGGCUUAACCUGGGAACUGCGCUUGUAACUGGCAAGCUUGAGUGUGGCAGAGGGGGGUGGAAUUCCACGUGUAGCAGUGAAAUGCGUAGAGAUGUGGAGGAACACCGAUGGCGAAGGCAGCCCCCUGGGCUAACACUGACGCCU